AGUGCCAAAGCCUUCCCCUGGAGACAGGAAUGUGGAGGAACUGUCACAGCUCUCAGCAUGCUGAUGCUCACUCACUGCAGCCUGAGAUUGCAGUGUAAUCGAGUGGUGCUAACCAGUUGCAGACGGGGCUCCCUGUGCAAGGCCUCAGAGUGGGCCCCCUUCACCUUGGCUCAGGAAGCCCCACAGACCACCGCCACAAUCUCACACUUCGCUCUGCUGAAGGCAGGGUUUCGACAAAGUCCCACAGGGCCGGCUGGUGAAGAAAGGGCGAGUGGGCAAACUGGAUCGGAAUUUGUAACAGUGGUGCAGCGGUAGAGGUGCUGCCUUAACAGCGCCAGAGACCCGGGUUCUGUCUGUAUGGAGUUUGCAUGUUCUCCUCGUGACUGCGUGGGUUUUCUGCGGGUGUUCCGCUUUCCUCCCACAUUCCAAAGAUGUACAGAAUGGACGGGUAACAUGUUCUCCUCUGAACACUCACAAUUCCACAUUGAUUUCCCUACAUUGGGUAAGUUCAUAAGUUCUAGGAGCAGAAUUAGCCAUUCGGCCCAUCAGGUCUACUCCACCAUUCAAUCACGGCUGAUCUAUCUUUCCCUCUCAAACCCAUUCUCCUGCCUUCUCUCCAUAACCCCCGACACCUGUACUUAAUCACGAACCUGUCUAUCUCCGCCUUAAAAAUAUCCAUUGAUGGCCUCCACAGCCGUCUGUGGCAAUGAAUUCCACAGAUUCACUAUCCUCUGACUAAAGAAACCUCCUCAAUUCCUUUGUAAAGGUACGUCCUUUUAUUCUGAGGCUAUGGCCCCUGAUCUUGGACUCUUCCACUCGAAACAUUCUCUCCACAUCCAGGCCUUUCACUAUUCGGUAAGUUUCAAUGAGGUCCCCAUUCCCCUCAUCCUUCUAAACUCCAGCGAGUACAGGCCCAGUGCAGCAAAAGGCUGUGCAUUCAUCCUAUCUAUUUCCCUCAUGAUGUUGAGCUGGGUGGGUGCCAGCCAGCAAUGAAUGGAAGGGGCACCAGCUUGGCUUCCUGCUCAUGGAGAACGUUUUUCAGAAUCCGCUGCUCUUUCAGGCAGUCGUUCUUCAUUCUUCAUCCCAUUAUUUUGUUGCAGUAAGUUCGGUUUUUAUUGAUUUGUAAAAACCACACACGACAACAUGGCGUAAGGAGCAGCUGCCGUUAUGUAAGACAAUACCGAGGCCAAAUCUCACUCACAUUCCACACCACACAAUCACUGCCAUUCUGUUACGCAAGUGAGCGCAGAGAGGAAGGUUGCUCAUAUGAAAUAUAAUCUGCUGCCUGUCACUGGAGAAGCAUUUCUCUCAAGCUGUGAUCCAGCAAAAUGCUAAAAACUGUCUUGUUUGUUUAAGUUUACGUUCAGGUUUAUUAUUGUCCCAUAUACCAAGGUACAGUGCAACGCUUUGUUUUGCAUGCUAUCCAAACUGAUCAGAUAUACCCCACAUCCAUGCAUUCAAGUCAAACUCAAGUACAACAGAUAGAGCAAAAGGGAAGAUACAGAGUGCAGAAUAUAGUUCUCAGCAUUGGAGCAUAUCAGUUCCAUAGACAAUCUUGUUAAAUAUUUAGCAGUUAGAUA
Leucoraja erinaceus (little skate) is the source of this 1580-nucleotide long non-coding RNA. RefSeq lists it as uncharacterized. The transcript has 3 exons. The record is from RefSeq and is a predicted model, not a curated record. NCBI's taxonomy places the organism in Eukaryota, Metazoa, Chordata, Chondrichthyes, Rajiformes, Rajidae.